Long non-coding RNA from Alosa sapidissima (American shad), 100 nucleotides. RefSeq lists it as uncharacterized. The transcript has 3 exons. NCBI's taxonomy places the organism in Eukaryota, Metazoa, Chordata, Actinopteri, Clupeiformes, Clupeidae. The record is from RefSeq and is a predicted model, not a curated record.
GCCUGUCAGUGUCUACAGUCAUGGAUUUAUGGUUUACUGGGAAAUUUUGACGUGGUGAUUAAAACAUGCACAGCGCGACGACGUUUGAACUGUCCGGCGG